GCAGUGUACCCGCGGCAAGACGGAAAGACCCCGUGAACCUUUACUAUAGCUUGACACUGAACAUUGAGCCUUGAUGUGUAGGAUAGGUGGGAGGCUUUGAAGCGUGGACGCCAGUCUGCGUGGAGCCGACCUUGAAAUACCACCCUUUAAUGUUUGAUGUUCUAACGUGGACCCGUAAUCCGGGUUGCGGACAGUGUCUGGUGGGUAGUUUGACUGGGGCGGUCUCCUCCUAAAGAGUAACGGAGGAGCACGAAGGUUGGCUAAUCCUGGUCGGACAUCAGGAGGUUAGUGCAAUGGCAUAAGCCAGCUUGACUGCGAGCGUGACGGCGCGAGCAGGUGCGAAAGCAGGUCAUAGUGAUCCGGUGGUUCUGAAUGGAAGGGCCAUCGCUCAACGGAUAAAAGGUACUCCGGGGAUAACAGGCUGAUACCGCCCAAGAGUUCAUAUCGACGGCGGUGUUUGGCACCUCGAUGUCGGCUCAUCACAUCCUGGGGCUGAAGUAGGUCCCAAGGGUAUGGCUGUUCGCCAUUUAAAGUGGUACGCGAGCUGGGUUUAGAACGUCGUGAGACAGUUCGGUCCCUAUCUGCCGUGGGCGCUGGAGAACUGAGGGGGGCUGCUCCUAGUACGAGAGGACCGGAGUGGACGCAUCACUGGUGUUCGGGUUGUCAUGCCAAUGGCACUGCCCGGUAGCUAAAUGCGGAAGAGAUAAGUGCUGAAAGCAUCUAAGCACGAAACUUGCCCCGAGAUGAGUUCUCCCUGAGACUUAGAGUCUCCUGAAGGAACGUUGAAGACGACGACGUUGAUAGGCCGGGUGUGUAAGCGCAGCGAUGCGUUGAGCUAACCGGUACUAAUGAACCGUGAGGCUUAACCUUACAACGCCGAAG
Molecule: ribosomal RNA, 882 nt
Filed under: Salmonella enterica subsp. enterica serovar Infantis
Lineage: Bacteria; Pseudomonadati; Pseudomonadota; Gammaproteobacteria; Enterobacterales; Enterobacteriaceae
Description: partial 23S ribosomal RNA
Rfam family: Bacterial large subunit ribosomal RNA
Source: RNAcentral